AUUGAACGCUGGCGGCAGGCCUAACACAUGCAAGUCGAACGAGCGGCGGACGGGUGAGUAAUGUAUGGGGACUGCCUGAUAGAGGGGGAUAACUACUGUAAACGGUGGCUAAUACCGCAUACUAUCGGAUAACCCAUAUGGGAUUAGCUAGUAGGUGGGGUAAAGGCUCACCUAGGCGACGAUCCAUAGCUGGGCUGAGAGGAUGAGCAGCCACACUGGGACUGAGACACGGCCCAGACUCCUACGGAGGCAGCAGUGGGGAAUAUUGGACAAUGGGCGAAAGCCUGAUGGAGCCAUGCCGCGUGUAUGAAGAAGGUCUUAGGGUUGUAAAGUGCUGUUAGCGGGGAAGCGUUACCCGCAGAAGAAGCCACGGCUAACUACGUGCCAGCAGCCGCGGUAAUAC
RNAcentral lists this ribosomal RNA (403 nucleotides) under uncultured bacterium. Its description in RNAcentral is "partial 16S ribosomal RNA". It matches the Rfam family "Bacterial small subunit ribosomal RNA", at positions 30 to 526 of the family's 1533-position model. The record is from RNAcentral.